RNAcentral lists this ribosomal RNA (497 nucleotides) under uncultured bacterium. Its description in RNAcentral is "partial 16S ribosomal RNA". It matches the Rfam family "Bacterial small subunit ribosomal RNA", at positions 28 to 507 of the family's 1533-position model. The record is from RNAcentral.
GAUGAACGCUGGCGGCGUGCCUAAUACAUGCAAGUCGAGCGAACAGACGAGGAGCUUGCUCCUCUGACGUUAGCGGCGGACGGGUGAGUAACACGUGGAUAACCUACCUAUAAGACUGGGAUAACUUCGGGAAACCGGAGCUAAUACCGGAUAAUAUAUUGAACCGCAUGGUUCAAUAGUGAAAGACGGUUUUGCUGUCACUUAUAGAUGGAUCCGCGCCACAUUAGCUAGUUGGUAAGGUAACGGCUUACCAAGGCAACGAUGCGUAGCCGACCUGAGAGGGUGAUCGGCCACACUGGAACUGAGACACGGUCCAGACUCCUACGGGAGGCAGCAGUAGGGAAUCUUCCGCAAUGGGCGAAAGCUUGACGGAGCAACGCCGCGUGAGUGAUGAAGGUCUUCGGAUCGUAAAACUCUGUUAUUAGGGAAGAACAAAUGUGUAAGUAACUAUGCACGUCUUGACGGUACCUAUUCAGAAAGCCACGGCUAACUACGUG